RNAcentral lists this ribosomal RNA (468 nucleotides) under uncultured bacterium. Its description in RNAcentral is "partial 16S ribosomal RNA". It matches the Rfam family "Bacterial small subunit ribosomal RNA", at positions 28 to 507 of the family's 1533-position model. The record is from RNAcentral.
GACGAACGCUGGCGGCGUGCUUAACACAUGCAAGUCGAACGGAAAGGCCCUGCUUUUGUGGGGUGCUCGAGUGGCGAACGGGUGAGUAACACGUGAGUAACCUGCCCUUUACUUUGGGAUAACUUCAGGAAACUGGGGCUAAUACCGGAUAGGAGCUCCUGCGGCAUGGUGGUGGUUGGAAAGGUUCGGCGGUUGGGGAUUGACUCGCGGCUUAUCAGCUUGUUGGUGGGGUAGUGGCUUACCAAGGCUUUGACGGGUAGCCGGCCUGAGAGGGUGACCGGCCACAUUGGGACUGAGAUACGGCCCAGAGUACUACGGGAGGCAGCAGUGGGGAAUAUUGCACAAUGGGCGGAAGCCUGAUGCAGCAACGCCGCGUGCGGGAUGAUGGCCUUCGGGUUGUAAACCGCUUUCGCCUGUGACGAAGCGUGAGUGACGGUAAUGGGUAAAGAAGCACCGGCUAACUACGUG